This is a long non-coding RNA of Lolium rigidum, 498 nucleotides long. RefSeq lists it as uncharacterized. The record is from RefSeq and is a predicted model, not a curated record. Lineage: Eukaryota; Viridiplantae; Streptophyta; Magnoliopsida; Poales; Poaceae. The transcript has 3 exons.
CUGAGGAGGUCGGGGCGAGGCUCUACGUCGCCGAUUUCUUCGCGCGCGCCUUCGCCCUCGCGGGUGAUGUCGAGGCUUUUGCAAAUGCUCUUGUUCACAAUCAUUCCAGCACCGUGGACUCCACUAAUCCAAUUCUGAAGAAGAGCAAGAUCAAUGAUAUAAGAGGACUCCAAAACUUGGCCAAGUCAUUAUCUGGACAGCGUUCUGUUCAGGCACAAUCUGCUCAAUACACAAAUUUCCACCGCGAGCCUUUAUACACCGCUCGGCGAAGGGUGAGGCCUAUGGGCCGGCCUAUUUAGUACGGAAUUUUUUUUCCUUCUUUUCUGUUUUCUUUUCUUUGUAUUUUUUUUUUGUUUUUCUUCAAUACUUUAAUCGAUAAUCGAUACCAUAUAUAUAUUUAAAGCAUAAGGGUAGAGACAUAUGAGCUGUCUCCAGCAAUUGAAGGUAAAACUCCUACUUAUGCUAGGAUGUGUAUAAGCUUACAUUAUACAAUGAUGU